AGCGAACGCUGGCGGCAGGCUUAACACAUGCAAGUCGAACGGACCCUUCGGGGUUAGUGGCGGACGGGUGAGUAACACGUGGGAACGUGCCCUUCGGUUCGGAAUAACUCAGGGAAACUUGAGCUAAUACCGGAUACGCCCUUUUGGGGAAGGUUUACUGCCGAAGGAUCGGCCCGCGUCUGAUUAGCUAGUUGGUGGGGUAAUGGCCUACCAAGGCGACGAUCAGUAGCUGGUCUGAGAGGAUGAUCAGCCACACUGGGACUGAGACACGGCCCAGACUCCUACGGGAGGCAGCAGUGGGGAAUCUUGCACAAUGGGGGAACCCUGAUGCAGCGACGCCGCGUGAGCGAUGAAGCCC
Molecule: ribosomal RNA, 358 nt
Filed under: uncultured bacterium
Lineage: Bacteria
Description: bacterial SSU rRNA
Rfam family: Bacterial small subunit ribosomal RNA
Source: RNAcentral